Molecule: ribosomal RNA, 254 nt
Filed under: uncultured bacterium
Lineage: Bacteria
Description: partial 16S ribosomal RNA
Rfam family: Bacterial small subunit ribosomal RNA
Source: RNAcentral
CAUCCUACGGGACGCAGCAGUGGGGAAUAUUGGACAAUGGGGGAAACCCUGAUCCAGCGACGCCGCGUGAGUGAAGAAGUAUUUCGGGACGUAAAGCUCUAUCAGCAGGAAAGAAAAUGACGGUACCUGACUAAGAAGCCCCGGCUAACUACGUGCCAGCAGCCGGGGUAAUACGUAGGGGGCAAGCGUUAUCCGGAUUUACUGGGUGUAAAGGGAGCGUAGACGGCAGCGCAAGUCUGGAGUGCAAUGCAGUG